Long non-coding RNA from Esox lucius (northern pike), 575 nucleotides. The record is from Ensembl. Lineage: Eukaryota; Metazoa; Chordata; Actinopteri; Esociformes; Esocidae.
CUUUCGUUGCACAUCGAUGUCAGACUCUGAUUCACCUUCCAUCGCCAAGUAGCCUUUACACAGGACCUGUAAAAGCCCAUUCAGAAUGUUACUUGAUACUUGACUACUGUGUGACUAGAAUACAGACAAAGGAAAUUAUAAUGUCCAAUAAUACAACACAGAUGUGAAUACUUUUCAAAUAUGAGACACAAUGUGAUUGCCUAAUCCCUCCCAACCACGCACAUGCAGACAGACAGAAUUUGUUACUGGACCCCAACUGCACCCCUUCCUGCACUUUCUGACACAUGACACCCCACAUUGAGAGAAGCCAGCACCUUCCAAGAAGCCCAGUCACUGUAGCGGUGGUGGGGAGGAUCCACACCCACCAGUGUCCUAGAUUCUGUCUCUCACAGAUGAAGAGUACCUAUGAUACAAAUGACAGACCUCUACAUGCUUUGCAAAGGAAUACCCAAUCACUUGGCAAAUAAUGGAUGCCUGAAAAAGAUAGGUGAAGAGUAGGUUCCUUGUGCCACAGUAGCUGCAGACAUGUAUACAGAAGAUCUUUGACCAGGGCAUCAACCUUUGGAACUGACCCC